GAAGGAAACUGGAUAAUCGCUGACAGGAACACUGUGAGAGGAAAGUCCGAGCUCCGAAGGGCAGGGUGCUGGGUAACACCCAGGCGGAGUGAUCCGACAGACAGUGCCACAGAAAACAUACAGCCAAUGGCCUGUAAAGGCGCAGGUAAUGGUGAAAAGGCGGGGUAAGAGCCCACCGCGAUUCUGGUAACAGAAUUGGCAGGGUAAACCUCACCCGGAGCAAGAUCGAAUAGGAAAACGUUUGAGAGCGGCCCGCUCAAUGUUUUCGGGUUGAUCGCUUGAGGAUGCGUGGCAACAGGCAUUCCAGAUGAAUGAUUAUCAUUCCGGCGACGGAAGACAGAACUCGGCUUACAGGUUUGCUUCAGCA
This 367-nucleotide RNase P RNA is filed under the name Candidatus Moduliflexus flocculans. RNAcentral describes it as "Bacterial RNase P class A". It matches the Rfam family "Bacterial RNase P class A". Rfam says of the family: Ribonuclease P (RNase P) is a ubiquitous endoribonuclease, found in archaea, bacteria and eukarya as well as chloroplasts and mitochondria. Its best characterised activity is the generation of mature 5'-ends of tRNAs by cleaving the 5'-leader elements of precursor-tRNAs. The record is from Rfam by way of RNAcentral. Lineage: Bacteria; Candidatus Moduliflexota; Candidatus Moduliflexia; Candidatus Moduliflexales; Candidatus Moduliflexaceae.